This 153-nucleotide ribosomal RNA is filed under the name uncultured fungus. Its description in RNAcentral is "5.8S ribosomal RNA". It matches the Rfam family "5.8S ribosomal RNA". Rfam says of the family: 5.8S ribosomal RNA (5.8S rRNA) is a component of the large subunit of the eukaryotic ribosome. It is transcribed by RNA polymerase I as part of the 45S precursor that also contains 18S and 28S rRNA. The record is from RNAcentral. Lineage: Eukaryota; Fungi.
AACUUUCAACAACGGAUCUCUUGGUUCUCGCAUCGAUGAAGAACGCAGCGAAAUGCGAUAAGUAGUGUGAAUUGCAGAACUCAGUGAAUCAUCGAAUCUUUGAACGCACAUUGCGCCUCCCGGUAUUCCGGGAGGCAUGCCUGUUCGAGCGUC